UAGGGAAUCUUCCGCAAUGGACGCAAGUCUGACGGAGCAACGCCGCGUGAGUGAAGAAGGAUUUCGGUUCGUAAAACUCUGUUGUUAGAGAAGAACAGCGCAUAGAGUAACUGUUAUGCGUGUGACGGUAUCUAACCAGAAAGCCACGGCUAACUACGUGCCAGCAGCCGCGGUAAUACGUAGGUGGCAAGCGUUGUCCGGAUUUAUUGGGCGUAAAGCGAGCGCAGGCGGUCAAUUAAGUCUGAUGUGAAAGCCCCCGGCUCAACCGGGGAGGGUCGUUGGAAACUGGUUGACUUGAGUGCAGAAGAGGAGAGUGGAAUUCCAUGUGUAGCGGUGAAAUGCGUAGAUAUAUGGAGGAACACCAGUGGCGAAGGCGACUCUCUGGUCUGUAACUGACGCUGAGGCUCGAAAGCGUGGGUAGCAAACAGG
Molecule: ribosomal RNA, 429 nt
Filed under: Bacteroidota bacterium
Lineage: Bacteria; Pseudomonadati; Bacteroidota
Description: Bacteroidetes bacterium partial 16S ribosomal RNA
Rfam family: Bacterial small subunit ribosomal RNA
Source: RNAcentral